UGGGGAAUAUGGCGCAAUGGGCGAAAGCCUGACGCAGCGACGCCGCGUGAGGGAUGAAGGUUUUCGGAUCGUAAACCUCUGUCAGAAGGGAAGAAACCGCACUGUGCUAAUCAGCAGUGCCUUGACGGUACCUUCAAAGGAAGCACCGGCUAACUCCGUGCCAGCAGCCGCGGUAAUACGGAGGGUGCAAGCGUUAAUCGGAAUUACUGGGCGUAAAGCGCACGUAGGCUGCUUUGUAAGUCAGGGGUGAAAUCCCACGGCUCAACCGUGGAACUGCCUUUGAUACUGCUUAGCUUGAAUCCGGGAGAGGGUGGCGGAAUUCCAGGUGUAGGAGUGAAAUCCGUAGAUAUCUGGAGGAACAUCAGUGGCGAAGGCGGCCACCUGGACCGGUAUUGACGCUGAGGUGCGAAAGCGUGGGGAGCAAACAGG
Molecule: ribosomal RNA, 429 nt
Filed under: Fusobacteriota bacterium
Lineage: Bacteria; Fusobacteriati; Fusobacteriota
Description: Fusobacteria bacterium partial 16S ribosomal RNA
Rfam family: Bacterial small subunit ribosomal RNA
Source: RNAcentral